Coffea arabica (coffee) is the source of this 771-nucleotide non-coding RNA. The record is from RefSeq and is a predicted model, not a curated record. Lineage: Eukaryota; Viridiplantae; Streptophyta; Magnoliopsida; Gentianales; Rubiaceae.
AUUCAAGAUUUUGACAGCGGCUGAGUCCUAGCGACCGUCACCGGCGAAACGACGUCAUUCAACACCUUCGAUUCUAACUCCAAUUAAGUUUCCAGAUCUUUUUAAUUUCAGUCUGGGAGCAAUUUGCUUUGUUAGUGUUCUUUUGCUAGUAGCUUCAAAUAUUCUAGGACAGAAAGCAAAAAUAACCACGGUGACUCGAAAGAUGUUGUACCCCUAGUUCGUUAUUGCUUUGGUAUUUUCUUGUUUCUUUGCAGGUUGUUCUUUUUCACUUCUGCAACCUUGAUGUCCCGGAAGCGAAAUGCCAUUGUUGCUACAGGCCUAGUGGUUUUUGCUGCUGCAGGAUUAGCAUUUCCCUUUUUCAUGGCAUCUAGAUCAUCGAAGAUGAAACCUGUUAUUGAUUCAUCAAAGCCUCUACCACCUCAGGCAACCUUCCGUGGACCGUAUAUCAACACCGGAUCGCGCGACAUUGGACCUGAUCAUCAAUCUUACCCGAAGAAAUAAUAUGUUUUGUGGGCCUUUUACUAUUUCGAGUAGAAAGCUGUUAUUUUCAGGUGAUGAAAAGGCUACUUCUUCCAUUGAUGGAGAAAUGUAUUUGCAUUUUUGCAAGAAGUAUACAUUUAUUUAGGGGCCCUUCUUCUGUCUGUGUGUUACCAGAAUCUUGGAAGUGGGGAGCAAAUUGACCACAUUAUGGAUUCUGUUGAUAAUUAUUUGUCGCCUUUAGAUUUACUUGUACGAUCUUGUAAUAAAAUGGUGAUUGGUGAGUAUUUAAUA